Molecule: long non-coding RNA, 243 nt
Organism: Oreochromis aureus
Lineage: Eukaryota; Metazoa; Chordata; Actinopteri; Cichliformes; Cichlidae
Exons: 3
Source: RefSeq, a predicted model, not a curated record
GGAAGGAGGAGGGAGAUGACAGGUGAGAAGGAGGCAUCAGAACCAGCUGCUGCAUGGGGUGGAGAGAUGUGAGCUCCUGGAGCAGAAAGCACCACAAGAAAAAUGAGUAAGAGUCAGCUGACCUCCGUGCACUGGAGAGCUCUGUGUCAGGUGGCAUGUCUUCACGGUGGAGCCUGAAUGAGAAAUAGCAGCAGUGGCCAAAUCUACAGCUUUCUACACUCCAAACUCCAUCCGUGCACCAUG